Colossoma macropomum (tambaqui) is the source of this 864-nucleotide long non-coding RNA. RefSeq lists it as uncharacterized. The transcript is spliced from 4 exons. Lineage: Eukaryota; Metazoa; Chordata; Actinopteri; Characiformes; Serrasalmidae. The record is from RefSeq and is a predicted model, not a curated record.
GACAAUAUUACUUAGUGAAUGAGAACAUGACUUGGUUGGAGGCUCAGAGGUACUGCAGAGAGAACUACACUGACCUGGCUACUGUAGACAACAUGGAGGAGAUGAAGCAGCUGAUGGUGGCAGUAGAUCCUAAGUUUGUAGGUUCUUUGUGGAUAGGACUGAACAAGGCCCCCCCGAGACGCUGGGGCUGGUCUUCAGGAGAGAUCCCACAAUACAUGAAUUGGAGAAGUCUGGAACCAGACGGUGGAAACAUAGAUGGACUUUGUGCCACGAAAUAUCAGUUCAGUGGAUGGAUUAAUGCUUAUUGUACAGAUGUUUUGGAUUUUGUUUGCUACAGCGAACCGACUAAACAAUUUAUCCAUGUUAGCAAAUGAGACAGUUGGAGAAAUGCUCAAUAUUAUUGCCGACAGCAUUAUACUGACCUGGCCACCAUUCACAAUGAAGAGGAACAUCAGAACAUUUCAGAUCUUCUGGGCAGCGUACAAUACGCAUGGAUCGGCCUCUUCUUCGACAACUGGAAAUGGUCUGACCGACGAAGCACCUCGUUCCGCUACUGGGAGCCAGGACAACCCUGGAGUCCCACAGGCAAGGCAAACUGUGUCGCCAUGGUGACUACAUGGAACGGACGAUGGAAAUGACUCACCAUGUGAUGCAAAGCUACCUUUCAUGUGUUAUAAAGCACUGAGACAGCGCAUAGUAAAACUGAUUAUGACCUCUAAUGAGCAGAAGGAUCUGAAUGACCCUGCUAUGAAGACAGCCAUUCUGACUCAGAUCAAGAGAAAAUUGAGGACACAGGAAGCCGGUAAUGACGCCACCCUGAGCUGGCGAGAGAAAAAUGGAAAGGUUUUUAAGUUGUACAAGAAG